This 488-nucleotide ribosomal RNA is filed under the name uncultured bacterium. RNAcentral describes it as "bacterial SSU rRNA". It matches the Rfam family "Bacterial small subunit ribosomal RNA", at positions 28 to 511 of the family's 1533-position model. The record is from RNAcentral.
GAUGAACGCUAGCGGGAGGCUUAACGCAUGCAAGUCGAAGGGCAGCAUUAUCGCUUGCGAUAGAUGGCGACUGGCGAACGGGUGCGUAACGCGUAUGCAACCUACCCUCAACUGGAGAAUAGCCCAGAGAAAUUUGGAUUAAUACUCCAUAGUAUUACAGAUUCGCAUGUUUUUGUAAUUAAAGUUUUAAUGGUUGAGGAUGGGCAUGCGUGACAUUAGUUUGUUGGUGAGGUAAUGGCUCACCAAGACUACGAUGUCUAGGGGUUCUGAGAGGAUGAUCCCCCACACUGGUACUGAGACACGGACCAGACUCCUACGGGAGGCAGCAGUGAGGAAUAUUGGACAAUGGAGGCAACUCUGAUCCAGCCAUCCCGCGUGCAGGAAGACAGCCCUAUGGGUCGUAAACUGCUUUUAUACAGGAAUAAACCCCUCUACGUGUAGAGGGCUGAAGGUACUGUAAGAAUAAGGACCGGCUAACUCCGUGCCAG